This 1047-nucleotide ribosomal RNA is filed under the name uncultured Bacteroidales bacterium. RNAcentral's name for it is "bacterial SSU rRNA". It matches the Rfam family "Bacterial small subunit ribosomal RNA", at positions 32 to 1087 of the family's 1533-position model. Lineage: Bacteria; Pseudomonadati; Bacteroidota; Bacteroidia; Bacteroidales. The record is from RNAcentral.
AACGCUAGCUACAGGCUUAACACAUGCAAGUCGAGGGGUCUGCUUCGGCAGACGACCGGCGCACGGGUGAGUAACGCGUAUCCAACCUGCCCUUCAUAUUGGUAUAGCCUCCCGAAAGGGAGAUUAAUCCCGAAUAAGAUACCAAAGUUGCCUGAUUUUGGUAUGAAAGCUCCGGCGAUGAAGGAUGGGGAUGCGUUCCAUUAGGUAGUAGGCGGGGUAACGGCCCACCUAGCCAACGAUGGAUAGGGGUUCUGAGAGGAAGGUCCCCCACACUGGAACUGAGACACGGUCCAGACUCCUACGGGAGGCAGCAGUGAGGAAUAUUGGUCAAUGGGCGCAAGCCUGAACCAGCCAAGUAGCGUGAAGGAAGACUGCCCUAUGGGUUGUAAACUUCUUUUUUACGGGAACAACCACAUCUACGUGUAGAUGUCUGCGUGUACCGUACGAAUAAGCAUCGGCUAACUCCGUGCCAGCAGCCGCGGUAAUACGGAGGAUGCGAGCGUUAUCCGGAUUUAUUGGGUUUAAAGGGAGCGUAGGUGGUUUGUUAAGCCAGCUGUGAAAUACUGUAGCUCAACUACAGCCGUGCAGUUGGAACUGGCAGACUUGAGUGCACUAGAGGAAGGUGGAAUUCGUGGUGUAGCGGUGAAAUGUUUAGAUAUCACGAAGAACUCCGAUUGCGAAGGCAGCCUUCUGGAGUGUAACUGACACUGAUGCUCGAAAGUGUGGGUAUCGAACAGGAUUAGAUACCCUGGUAGUCCACACAGUAAACGAUGGAUACUCGCUGCCGGCGAUACAAUGUCGGUGGCUUAGCGAAAGCGUUAAGUAUCCCACCUGGGGAGUACGCCGGCAACGGUGAAACUCAAAGGAAUUGACGGGGGCCCGCACAAGCGGAGGAACAUGUGGUUUAAUUCGAUGAUACGCGAGGAACCUUACCCAGGCUCGAACGGCAGAUUGAAGGUAGUCAGAGAUGACGUCCGUCUUCGGACAAUUUGUCGAGGUGCUGCAUGGUUGUCGUCAGCUCGUGCCGUGAGGUGUCGGCUUAAGUGC